RNAcentral lists this ribosomal RNA (495 nucleotides) under uncultured bacterium. RNAcentral describes it as "partial 16S ribosomal RNA". It matches the Rfam family "Bacterial small subunit ribosomal RNA", at positions 28 to 505 of the family's 1533-position model. The record is from RNAcentral.
GAUGAACGCUGGCGGCGUGCCUAAUACAUGCAAGUCGAGCGAACAGACGAGAAGCUUGCUUCUCUGAUGUUAGCGGCGGACGGGUGAGUAACACGUGGAUAACCUACCUAUAAGACUGGGAUAACUUCGGGAAACCGGAGCUAAUACCGGAUAAUAUUUUGAACCGCAUGGUUCAAUAGUGAAAGACGGUCUUGCUGUCACUUAUAGAUGGAUCCGCGCUGCAUUAGCUAGUUGGUAAGGUAACGGCUUACCAAGGCAACGAUGCAUAGCCGACCUGAGAGGGAUAGCGCCCACUCGGAAUCAGACACGGGGCCGAGACCUACGCGAGGGACAGGUGUGGAGAAUUCUCCGAUAGGGGCAAGCGUCAGACGGAGAAACGCCGCGUGUGAGAUGAAGGUCUGGGGAGCAAAAAUCUCUGUUAUGAGAGAAACAAAUGUGUGUAAGAAUAUGCGCAUAUCGACGCGGCACAUAAACAGAAAGACGCCGCAAAACACG